AUCGUGGGGAGAAGCAACGCAAGACCCCGGAAGCAUGCCAACGUGUAAAACCCCAAGUCAAAGGUCAAACAGUGCACUGGAUCUCUCAAGUCGCCUGCUUGGCCCUCUACUAAAAAGGGAGAUGCCAUGUGCUGGCCCAGCACUCCAACAGGGGCCUGACCUCUAGGAACGGGACACUGGAGGAAGCCUAGACAUCUGAACAAAUCAAGUCAUCCAGAUCCACGGUCAGCUCCUGCCCCGACUUGGCCUUCCUCCUGCUGGGCUGGCCCACGGACCUCGGGAACCUGCCCUGGCUGUGGGUGACCUGCAGCCUAUCUCCCAGGACUAUGGAAGCCCCAUGCAGGAACAUGGUUCUGACACUUUGGGGAUUAUACCCUAAGCUUAAAGGACUGGAAAAGCCCCUGAAGUCCCGAGACCACAACCCUCCACCUUCUAAAGAUAAGACAAGUCACUGAAGGUCUCAGAACUGUGGCCCAUUCACCCCUUCCCUCAAGACAAGAGUGUGGCCAAGCAUCAAUCUCACCCCCAGAGACCAGACGGUGUCCAGGUCUUGGGCAGACGAAACCUGCUCCUUGGGGAUGGUCUUCCUGGCUGUGCUUCCAAAGGGCUGGCCUGCAAUCAGCUGGUUUUCACUUGAUCCUUUCGGGGUUUGCAUUAUAUCUGACUGAAGGAAUGAACUGGGAGAGAACAGCAGAGCCGCAGCGGAAUGUGGAAAGGCCCACGUCCAGACUGUUCCCAUUCUGAUUUAAAAGCCUGAUGAAGGAACAGCUGAACUCAGAGAAACAGCAGGUGAAAAGUCCAAGUCAAGGAAUAGAAGUAGUCAGUUCGUGGUGGAGUUGCAUUGAUGAUUCCAGAGCGGUUCCUGCUCCUCCUCUUUAAGCCAGUGUGUUUUACCAAAGAUUUUCGGGACAAAGAAAAAGCCAGGCAGUAGGUGCCAAAUACAGUGACUCAUCAGAUGACCCUGCUGUUUAUCUCCAACAUUUUCAUGAACAGCUUUCAAGGAAUGAAGGAAGGAAAUGUUCUGUGUCCAUAAAGUAGGAUUGGAAACAGUUGACUUGUAUGAACAUGGCCAACACAAAAUAGUCCAGGGGGAUGUGGAAUAUUUGAGGAGAACAACAUUAGACUGAGAAAUUAUGACAGUCAGGAAAAGAAAAAUUGUACCAAAUAUCAAAGAACGUGAGUUUUUUUCAACAGAAAACUAAAGCGAUAGAUGGAACCUGUGAGUUCACUUCUAAAGGAGCAUUAAAAAAAAAAUGAAACCUAGGAAAA
This is a long non-coding RNA of Homo sapiens (human), 1269 nucleotides long. Ensembl annotates it as TMC3 antisense RNA 1. Its record names the gene TMC3-AS1. Lineage: Eukaryota; Metazoa; Chordata; Mammalia; Primates; Hominidae. The record is from Ensembl.